Long non-coding RNA from Homo sapiens (human), 9866 nucleotides. RefSeq lists it as uncharacterized. The record is from RefSeq and is a predicted model, not a curated record. Lineage: Eukaryota; Metazoa; Chordata; Mammalia; Primates; Hominidae. The transcript has 2 exons.
CCUCGUGAUCUGCCCGCCUCGGCCUCCCACAGUGCUAGAAUUACAGGCAUGAGCCACCACACCCAGCCGAGGGCAGGAAUUUUAUGCAUUUUGCUCAUGGCUUGAUUCCUAGGGCUUAGUGUAUUCUCAAUGAAUAUUGAUUGAAUUAAUGUAUAAAUCAAUAUUCUACAACCAAAUUCCCUAAUAUUCUUAGGGAAUUUACCCAUAAAUUACCCAUAGUAUCUCUCAUAUGCCCACUAACGUCCACAGAAGAGACUAAAAAUGUGUUCCAAUGAACUAUCUGAUAGGUUGCUAAAUAUUUUAUGGAUUAUUUUGAAGUUUAGUUUUCUGAGAUUGCAAAUUUAAAAAUUUUUAGGCUUUAAUCUUUGAAUCACAAAUUAUUCUAACAUAAUGUACCUUAUCUAGGAAAGGAAGAAAAUGUUGUUUGUUUUUACUUUCUUUUUAUAUAAAAGCUGCAUAUAUAAACCUAAAUUUCUUGUUGGUUCCUUAAUAAAAUUGUGUCUCUCUGGGGUGAUAACAGAUAGGUCUCAAAAUACAUAGCAAAUUAUAGGCCAUCAGCGAAAGCCUCUCUUUAAAGCUUUACUUGAACAAAUAAUGGGUAAAAGGAUACGUUCUCCAGAUGAAUAUGAUAGAUCACAGUGCUUUGGUUAACUGACUUUAUAACUUUGGAGAGACAGAUCUGGUUGGCUAGAAACACUAAUAGAUAGGAACAUAAUUAUCACAUAAAACCUAUAAAACUCAAAAUGAGUUGAUCUUAAUAUUGCUGUCCCUCCAUGGCCAGUAAGCAAACCUCCAUUUUACCAGAGGAAUACAGAAUAAAGCCAUCUGGAUUAUUGGAGAAAAGAGCAUUCAAAUGACUUAGAUUAACCCAAGCCUUAUUUUCUGAGGGAAUAGCUCCAACCAUCCAGCUAAAAAGGAUGUCAAUUUAGAACUCAGUUUGAUGUAAAGGGAUAGAAAAGAUUAAGAUAAUUAAUUGGCAUCUGACCAUGUUUAAAGAGUGGGAAGGUUUAGGAUGGAAAACAAUCUCAGUAAAUUGCAUUAUAAUUAUAAGAAGAAAACAGGGUCUAUCUCAUCGCCUGCAGGGAGCCAGAAAUAGAGUCAGUGUAACUUUAUGAAGUGCUCAGAGUCUGCAAAACAUGAUUGCUGUUGCCAUCAGUUGAGAAAAAAGUGAUAUAUCAAGGAAGACUAUAAAUCUAAUUUGUUAGACUAGAUACCCAUAAUAAAUGUAAAGCUAUAUAUUUGUCUCCUUAAAAAAAAGUCUCUCUGAUAGACUGUUUGCAAAAAAUAGCCAGACUUUCAAUUUCUGUACCCAAGCCCUUUUACAACUUGAGUUUGCACGUUCUCCCAUCAAGAAUGCCUAUUUAUCCGCCAAUUGAAUGUGGAAUAUCUAUGUCUUGAUUUGUCUAAAAGAAUGAGUCAGAUGUGACAUCAUGCCAGUCGACCUCACAAGGGCAUGCAAACUUCUACUUGUUCUGUUCGAUCCUCACUGUGCUAUGAGAACAAGACUUUCUGGAGUUGACGAUGAGAGACUUUUAUCAGAGUCCAGUUUUCCCAGUCAAGGCUUUGAAUAAGUGAGGACACUCAGCCAGCACCAAAACAAAACAAAACAAAACAGUAUGAGCUGAUCCGCAGGUGACAACUGAUAUGUCGGGAGCAUUGAGCUCCACAGAUAAUAAUGUAUACCAGCUCAGGCCAAAAUAACUGCCCAGUUGACCUGCAGACUGUGAGCUAAGAAACAGUUACAGUAUUAAACCAGUAAGUAGUUUGUUGGUUUGCCAUAAGAAUUACUAAUUAGACAUCUAACAUGACAAAUUAGAAAGUACGGCCCAAAAUUGUAACAGAGGGAAAAAACAUUUCAAUUCUAAUGAAAACAAUUUACCAUCAGACUCUAGAAAAUUUGUGAUAUUAUAUGUGGAAUAAGGCAAGAUGAUGAAAAAUACCUCGAUUUUGGUUAAGAUCACAAUGGCCACAGAUAUUCUUAUCCCAUGCCCUACUCAUCUAUAUUGUAGGAAACUCUAUCCUCACAAUCUGUUAUACCCUAGGACAGUGUCUGUAUUAAUCAGGGUUCUCUAAAGGGACAGAAAUAAUAGGAUAUAUGUACACAUGAAGGGGAGUCUAUUAGGAUAAUUGACUCACAUAAUUAGAAGGUGAAGUCCCACAAUAGGCCAUCCGCAAGUUGAGAAGCAAGAAAGCCAGUCCGAGUCCCAAAACUUCAAAAGUAGGGAAGCUGACAGUGUAGACUGCAGUCUGUGGCAGAAGGCCCAAGAACCCCUGGCAAAUGAUUGGUGUAAGUCCAAGAGUCCAAAAGCUGAAGAACUUGAAGUCUGAUGUUUGAGGGCAGGAAGCAUCCAGCACGGGAGAAAGAUGGAGACCGGAAGACUCAGCAAGUCUGCCCUUUCCAACUUUUUUUGCCUGCUUUCUUCUAGCCAUGCUGGUAGCUGAUUACACAGUGCCCACCCACAUUGAGGGUGGGUUUGCCUCUCCCAGUCCUCUGACUCAAAUGUUAAUCUCCUUUGGCAACACCAUUGCAGACACACCCAGGAACAAUACUUUGCAUCCUUCAAUCCAAUCAAGUUGACACUCAAUAUUAACCAUCACAGUGUCCAUUAAUAUUUCAGGAUGCUGAAGGUAACAAAUGCAUGAAAGUCAACUUUUUAAUAUAGAUCUCUGCUAGACUCUACUCCUAAACCAAAUUAGGAUCUUGAAGUGUGAAAAAAAUAGCAUGAUACAUAGAGUUAAAAUAAUACAAUAUCAGAACUUUAGUAUCAUUUCAAAUCUAUUUGUCCAUGUAGAAAAAAAUGGAAAUCAUACUUGCCUAUAAACACUAAGGCACAAAUCUAAGAGUUCUAUCGAUGCUUCAAAUCUUUCAUGGUUUAUUCCAUGUUUAGGGAAUAGAGUUCAAAAUCUGUAUUAGGAACUAUAGGAAUUGUAUUACAUGGUCUCUUGUCUAUGACUGCAGUCUCAUCUCCCAUUGCUGCUACCAGGUGCUCACAUGGAUUUCAUUUUUGCUUUUUUUUCAGGAGCAUGCCACAAACCCCAGCUAAUUUUUGUAAUUUUAAUAUAGCCGAAGUUUUGUCAUGUUGUCUAGGCUGGUCUCAAACUCCUGGGCUCAAGCAGUUCCAUAGUCCUUAGAUUACAGGCAUGAGCCACUGCGCCCAGUCGCAUUUUGUUUAAAUUAAUUUGCUAACAGUUGGCCGGGCUUCUUCUGUCAUACCACAAUGACUUUGAUUUUGUCUUCAUUUUCCUAAAAUGCACGUACCUGUCUUGUCUGUCUAGAAAGCUCUUUUCAUUCUUUCUGUUACAAAUCACAGUGUAACCUGUGAAGACCUCCUAAAUCCCCCAGAGAAGUGAAGGGUUUCUUCUGCAUGCUUCCACCAUACUAUGCAUGCACUUUAGCUGUAGCAUUUUUCACACUGAAUUAUAAUAAUUGCUUCACAGAUCUGAUUCCUUGAUUAUGGCAACCAUAUUCCCUAUCAUUUUCAUAACUUCACCUGAUCACAUAGGGCUAGAAAUAUAUCAUGGCACCAUCUUUUUUGAAUAUAGGGAUUCUCCAAACUAUGCCUUCUGGGUUUCAUGUGAACAAGCUACAAAAAAUAUGAAAAUAAAGAUGCAUUAGCAUUUAUGAUUUUUUAUUUGUAUGUCUAAAAGGAGCAUGGGAGUAGGUGAGCAUUUAAUGAAAAUUAUUGAAUAAUUUAGUGGUGACUGUGAGACCAGCAGAGAUGUAGAACAAUAUAGGAUUGAUUUCAGAUAAUACACAGGGGCAGUUAGGACUGUGGUUCUAUAGCCUCUUCCUUGAUAGGGAUUUCAGAUAGUCAGUACCAUGGGUUAUGUGGAAUAUCACCUUCAUAACAAAAGAUGUGAAUGGAGACAAAAAAAUGUGCAUCUUUGAAAUUGUGCUAUCGACUAUGUCUAGGUUGGAAAUAAAGACAUCCUGACAAAAGCAUAUGGAACUGAGAAGGUCAGCGAUUGAUAUUUUUGCUUUGUACAGUCUCUGCCUGUUUUCUAAGUUUACCUUCCAAGUCAGUCAACAAUUAUGAUGCACUCAAAAUCCCCCGAAUCACCUCUGGAAGUAUAAAGACAGUGCUAGUAUGUUUCCUGGCAGGGAGGUGUGUUUAACAAAACAGGACUACUAAAACAAAUUAAAAUAUCAAAUUUUCUUUAAAAUAUAUUUAGAAUGUCAAAAUCCAUCUAUAAACGUUAAAACGUGUACUUGAGAUGCAAUUUAUAAAAAAUCUCAGAAUUAUUAGAGUUAAAUAAUUGUACCCCGAGGACCAUCUUCUUUAAAGCCUUUAUUUUUCAGAUGAAGAAAAGGAAGACUGAGACAAGCUAGCUAGACUUAAAUAAGAUAAAUAGGAUCACUAGACCUAGACUCGUGUUGAUCUUUUUCCAAGAACACUGAUAAAAAAAUAAUGAGCUUUGAAAAAAAAUUAUAGAAUUUGAAUGCCCACCAAAAAUUUAAGAAGGAAACAUAAGAAAAUAUUAGCCAAAUACUACAAAAGCUUCCUAUUAUACCUAAGGCAUCCAGGUUGAUAUAAGCUGUCUCAUGAGCAAAGUCAGUCUUGAGUGGAGUUUUGGUACAAGUACAUAAUGAAAAGAACUAAAAACUCCAGAUGAGCUAUAGGAAGUGUACAUGUCAAGAAAGCAAACGCUUGAAUUAUUGACUUGGAAGACAAACAUGACCUUUUCUUCUCUUUGUACACAAAUCUUUAAAUUUUCUCGAUUCCUUGUCACGUGAAUCACACCUUCAGACACAUUCUAGACCUAACCUUUCACUUAUAAGGAGAAUGACCAGAGAUGCUUUUCAUAAUUCUUUUGAACUUCAGUUUUUAUAUCCAUCUGUGAGACAAUAAUCACACAUGGCUUCUCUCCCAUUGCAUGGUUAUGCUGAAGUUCAGUGAGAAGGAUUGACAAACUGAGACAGAAAGGAGCAGUAAGAUGCUGGGAUUCGGUCCAAGAAGUUUCUUCUCAUGUAGGCCAAUAAUAGAAUACUGAAGACAAGAAUUUCACUAAAUUUAAAAUCUUGUCUUAAAUACAAUUAUAAUAGCACUAAAUUACUCUAACCUUUAUUUCAUUUGAAUAUACCUGGUAUAAUUCAUUUCAAUACCUGCUAUAAUAAAAGCAACUGCAGCAACAAAAAUUCCUUGAGUCUGUUUAUUGUAUUCACAUCUACUCUUUUAUUUGCUCUUCAUUGAAUAUAAAUUUGUAAUAUUACUAGUGAUAGAAGAGAAAAAAAUAAAUAAGGUAAGAACACUUCACCACAAUUACAAAACUUAUCUGAAACCUUACAAUUAAGAUUUUAAUCCAGAUUAUAAUUCAGGUUUUUCCUUUUAUGUCUAUAUGGUUUUGACUCACAUGUAUUCUCCAAAAUCAAUGCAUAUCAGUCAUCUUUAACUAAGCACUUGAUAUCUUUUAUUCUGAUCAAUGCAUUUAUGCCAAAAAAUUAUAAUUAUAAAAUUUGGAAGACUCAAACAUCAAUACUGUUUGGUUACAUAAAAAUAUUCGACCAGAACAUAUUUUGAAACAUCACACCUACACAAAAUGACUUUUCAGUGUUUCCUUACAAGCAAAGUUAUUAAAUUCCCUGAAGAGGCCAUAAUUUUUCCAUAUCAAUUCUCAAAAUACUAACUUGAAGAAUGAAAGGGUUAUGCUAAUAAUGAUUAAAUAUGCAGUUAAAAUUGGGAUAAAUGUUUCAAGACAAUAAAAGUUGAAAAGAAUCUAAACAGCACUGAAUUACACAAGUGUCUGGGGAAAUCUAUGAAUUAAGUAUAGAUCAUCAUCUCAUAGUAACCUUUGAUAGUUCUCAUUAAAACUGCAGCAAUAGAAUCUGUUAGAGGCCUCCAGAGAGAUAUUAUGUGUAAAUGCAGAAAUUAAAAAAUGAAUAUUAAAUGAUCCUAUUGAGAAAUUAAGGCCAUUCAAUUGUGUUAAUGGCAGUAGAGUAUAAGAUCUAUGUUUUCAAUCUGUUCCUCUAAAAAGGAAAUAAAAAUCUGCAUCUAAUGUACAGAUUUAAUAAAACAAUUCAAAUAACAUCUAUUUUGCAUAAUAAGAUUUGUAUAAAGUAUUAUAUAGAAUGUGAUAUAUUUAUAAUAUAUAUAACAUGUACAUAAACGUACUUACAUAUAUAAAAUAUUACCUCCUGGGCACUAAACUGGUCAUCUUACAAACAUAAGUUUACAAUGUCAAUGAUAUUCAACUCCGCAUUCCCGUUUAGAAUAAUCUGGUAAUGUGCAAUUUACCAUUUCAGGUCACAGAUCUGCACAACAUCACAAAAUAUCAGGAUGAACAGGAUACUCUAUUUGAAAAAAUGGGAUUUCUAGAGUAAAGAGAAUAAAAUUAAUCUAUUUUUGUCACAAACACACAUCUGCAGCUUCAGAGAAAAUUAAAUAUAAUAAGGCAGCAUAGAUAUUAUGCAAUUCCAUCCGAUAUUUUUUAAAUGUGUAGUCACACCAGGUUCAGGGCUCUAAGUAAGCAAAAGACUAUAGGGUUCACUGGGAUCAGCAAAGACAGACCCCAUUUAAGGAGAAAAUAUUUGAACUGUGUCAUGUAAGGUCAUUAGGCACUAUCCAUACUAAGAGAAGCAGAAAGUUCAAACAAAGGAUCAUGCAAGAAAAUUUUUAUAGCGAUUGCUCCGUAUUUUGAAGGUUUCAUCCUAAAAAUAAAGCUCUUAUUGAGUUCAUUUUCCUUAUAAUGUUUCAAUUACUAGAUUUAAUUGAUGAUGCAAGUAAGUGCAGUUGAAGAUUUUACUCCUGUUUCAAUUAUUCAUGAAGACAGUGGUCAUGGUGUUUUCUCCUGGUUCAAACACCUUAGGGUAAAUUUUAAGCCCCAAAACACUCUGUAUUAGGCUUUCUACUUCUUAGCAACGUUGUAAACAUGGCCGUAAAGAAGGGGAGAAACACCUCGAAAAUUGCCAGGCAAUUAUUACCUGAAUAAAAGCAACUCACGUUUAGGGCCAAAUUAUUCCUAUCAUAGCAAAGUCUCUUUAUGAAUUUAUUAUAUGAAUUUCAGCUCCCAAAGCAAGUUUUAUGAAAAGGUAAUGUUUAUUUUUCUCUUUGUGUAGAAACAUUUGGCUUGCCAUGAAGCAUCUCUUCCUUUGUUGCAUUUUUUAUGACACUUAGUUUGGGAAAAGCAAUUUUAGAUGUGAAGUAUGUGUAAUCGUAUUGAUGGGUAAUGGUAAAACAUCAGUCAGGCUUUGGGCCAAAAGUAAUCUGUGCGAUAAAAUAGAAAGCUAAGGCCUUGUAUGUCAGCACAACUCUGUUGCUCUCCUCUACCUCAGCACCCAAAGCCAAAAUCAACCUAUCCACACACUUUCUCAUAAAUGCAUGAGCUAUUCUGCAUGUGCACUGCAAUAAUUUAUUGAGACUCCCUGCCUAAAUACCAGAGGCAAUAGGUAGUCAGAUGUUCAGCAUAUAAAAAUUUCCUUUGUAAAAUAUUAGCAGAGCUAUAAAUUUGUCUGUUCUUUUAUAUAGUUAUGCAAACACAAACAUUUAAUGUAAUGUUAGACACUGGCAUAAAUGCAAAGCAUUUUUUGUAAUAUUAAGGGGCAGCAGCUAUUCCUUUUUCCCACUCAAAUGCUCAAUCUUUCUUGGUCUUUUUAUUCUCGUCUUCCAUGUUUUUUGUGUGUCUAAGGACUCUCUGUGUCUCCAGAACAGGAAACCCUCAUUGGAUAUUUGACAAGGGGUCAGGAAACUUUUUCAAUGAAGGGCAAGAUAACAAGUAUUUUAGGCUAUGUGGGCCAUAUGGUCUCUGUCUCAACUACUGAAUUUUUCCAUGCAAAUUAACAAAAUAUAAACAAUGGAUGGAUCUGUCUUCCAAUAAAAGUUUGUUUUCAAAAACAGGCAGUAGACCAAAUUUGGCUGAUGGGUCAGUUUGCCAAAUCUUGCCCAUAUGUAAGCUUUUGGGGGCUAGAUGUUGGUGUCAUUUCUUUUUAUUCCGGCUUGUACUCAAUUACUAGAACAACUUCAUUUCUGUCUGAUAUCAUCACAGACUACACUACUUAUGACUUUUUCCAGAGUCUGGAAUUCCCAUGUAUCUCCAGCUGAUCUGAACCCUACACUGAAAAUAUUACACUUCUGUGCAAACUUAUACAUAAAUAUAUAGUUAUGCAAACUAUAUAUAUAUAUGGGGUACAAGCACAGAAUUCUUACAUGCAUAUAUUGCAUAGUGGUGAAGUCUGGGCUUUUAGUGAACCCAUCACCUGAAUAGUGAAUAUUGUACCCAAUAGGUAACUUUUCAAUCCUCACCUGCCUCUCAUCCUUCCAACUUUUGUGGUCUCUAGUGUCUAUUAGUUCAGUCCGUCAGUGUGCACCAAUUGUUUAUCUCCCACUUGUAAGUGAGGAUAUGCAAUAUUUGACUUUCUGUUUCUGCAUUAUUUCACUUAGGAUUAUGGCCUCCAGUUCCAUCCAUGUUGCUGCAGAAGCUAUAAUUUUAUUCUUUUGAAUGCUUUAAGCGUUCCAAAUCAUUGAAUUACUGAGAAGAUUAAAUGAGGGUAAAACAAUCCUUGAUACAUACCAACCAUCCAAUAAGAUUUGGCUGCAAUCACUACUUGUCAUCAUCAGUGACUGUAACAGAAGCAUGAAGACCAUAGCAAAGAGUCUGGAUACAGUGAAACAAGAAAUCGAGAGCCUUGUUAUUUCCUGCCUAAGGUAAUGCCAUGAGAAACAAACAAACAAGCAAAAUCGUAUUUUAUAGAGCUGAAAAAAAUCAUUUAUUUAAGGAAAAUAAAGAAGACGAGGAGAGGAGUAAGGAUUUGACGGGGGGAAUGGAGACAGGCCAGGCAGAAAUAAGAGCUUGGAUUACAUUUUUAAUAGCCUAAAAUAUGGAAAGAAAUGAUUGAGGUUGAUAUAUUGCAGACCUGUUUUCUUCUUUGACAGAAAAUUCCUUAAGAUUCUAGGAUGCAAAGAUUGGCAGUCAAAUUCAUUCAGAUGUACAGACUUUAUUCUUUUAUAAAAAGCCAUCCCACUGAUAUGCUUAUAAAAGCAGAUAUACAUUGUAGGGACUGUUGUGAAAUUGCCAGGCUCUUGUGGUCUCUAGUAGCUCCAUUUGCAUGCUAAUGAAACCAGAGGCCAGAUGCCACUAAUUACAACCCAGUCACUCUGUCCAACACCCCACAACCAACUGCCAGUGAAUGGACCUUGUCAUUCCAUUAUGCAAAUGAUACUUAGGAAGAACAGGAAUAAGUUCUAAAUAGUGGCAACCAGAGCCAUAUAUUGGCAGGAGGUAAAUUAAUAAAUAUAUUCAAGAAAUGGAAAUUAAAAAUUAUUAUUCAACAGUAGAUUAAUCAUGGCUGAAUAAAUAUGGAACAGAACAACUUUUUUUUUUCUUAGUGUUCUGAGCAAUCGAAUGAAACUUUCAGUAACUUAUUAAGGUGUAGUAAAUUGUAUUUCCAGAAAUCAUCCAUCAGGUUGCUAAAGGGUUAAGCAUUCUUAACACACUCAAGUGUUUUUUUUUUCUGCAUGAGACAAACAAACAAAAUCCUUAAGAGUGUUUUUCUUGGGUUACAAAGUUAUGUUAAAUAAAAAUAAAAAUGGAGGGAAAACCUUUGCUUCUGAGCCAAUGGCCCACACCAGCUCAAGAAAACUUAUAAAGACCGAUUCUGGAAAUGUCAGAAAUGAAGCUUGAGCUUUAUUUCCUUGUAAGCAUGACUCAGCACAUGCAGACAAUCAUCUAUUACCUACGUAACCUGCUCUGAUCAUCCUAAAAGGAAAGAUACUGUAAAAUAACCAAUGAGAAUCAAGAUGUAUGAACUUCUUUUUUUCCGUUUUUUAAACCUUAACUAUAACCUUUAGGAGAUGAGCUUCUUGCCAUUUUCUAUUUUGGAGUCUCUGUUCUGGAAUAGUGUGUUCUCAAUAAAAUAUUCAUGUCAAGUAAAA